This 344-nucleotide long non-coding RNA is filed under the name Homo sapiens (human). Its description in RNAcentral is "DLGAP1 antisense RNA 1". Lineage: Eukaryota; Metazoa; Chordata; Mammalia; Primates; Hominidae. The record is from RNAcentral.
ACAAUGCGCAGGCAAUCCACAGCAGCUGCCCCUGCAAAUGUCAGCGCCAGCCCAGUCAAAAGAGCUUGAAACCUACCAAGCCGGAGGACUGUGCUGUGCCUCUCUCGCCCACAUUUUCCCCAAGCACUCUCAGGAACCUGGCAACAGAUGGAUAUCUGAGAGCCAGCGAACUUUCUUUACCUCCUAGUAUCAUUUCAUGAAAAUUAGUAGCACCUGCACAAUGGGGCCUUGGAGACAGGAAUAAAAGGAAAAAUCUGGAAUGGAAUCACAUGACGCAACAGGCUAUGAAGACUCCCUGCCCGGCUGCUAUAUGUCUGGUAAACAGAAUAAAUAGUACUUGAGCA